CCUGCCAGUAGUCAUAUGCUUUGUUCAAGGGCUAAGCCAUGCAUGUCUCAGCGCAAGUGGGUCUCAACAACAGGUCUGUGAAUGGCUCCUUACAUCAGCAGUCAUCUCUGUGAUAGAGUGUGAAUGGCAGAAUCAGCUGCCCAUUGGACAUCCUCCAAAACCUGGUGGCUAAUACACGCACGAAACAGUCUGCCACAGCAAGGUUGGCGCCAAGGACUCUGUCCUGCUGACCGUGGUGGAUUGCAACCAGCCGAGUGAAAGACCAGCACCAGGCAAUGGUAGUGAGUCCAGAGCUGAGUCAGGCUGGUCCCAAUGGGACACCAGCCCUGGCGAUUCUGCGUGGCAUGUCCACAGCAAGUCUUGCUUGAUCACAUGAACUUCUGACCUAUCAGCUUGGACUGUGGUGUAGUGGACCACAGUGGCUCUAACGGGUGACAGAGAAUCAGGGUUCGAUUCUGGAGAGGGAGCCUGAGAGAUGGCUACCACCGCCAAGGCGGGCAGCAGGCGCGCAAAUUGCCCAAUGUAGACACAGUUCUGCGAGGCAGCAACGAACAGCAGCAACUCCAAGGAUCGAUCGGUCCGAGGAGCUUGGAAUGGAUGCUAUCCAAACACAGUGAUGAUUAGCAACUGGAGGGCAAGUCUGGUGCCAGCAGCUGCGGUAAUUCCAGCUCCAAGGGCGUAUACUAACAUUGCUGCUGUUAAAGCACUUGUAGUCAGCCACUGGGCUGCAGGUCUGUUUGGGGCCAGUGUGCGCUAGUUACCUUCGGGUGGCUGGUGUGCUCUGGAUCUACCCCCAGGCAGUAUGUCCCUGCUCCCGCAUCAUCAGAUGGUGUGAGUGCUCCUGCACGAAGCCCCCUUCACUGGGGGCCCAGGCGGUUUCUGCAACCGAGGCUUGUGUCUCUGGGCAAUAGAUCCCCAGGGUCCUCGUGGCCACUGGGGAAGCCCUACCAACCGGAGUCCACCAUCAGUGCCACCCUGGAAAACUCAGUGUGCUCCAAGCGUCCAGAGAUAUCUGAUUGGCUGAAUGAUCAUCCGCGGAAUGGCAAAGCACCGACCUGAUGUGGCAACAGAGUUGUGCUGGCCUUGGGGCCCAAUCAGGGCAAUGUGGUUCUGUUCCCUGGCACUUUCACUGGGGAUUGCCGUUAUGGCGGUCUCUCUGUGUCAGUCCAAAUGUGGCAGUAUCCAAUCGUCGAUGAUGGAAGCUCUCGAGGUGAAAGCUAUUGCAGCGCCAGAGGUGAAAUUCUUAGACCGCCGCAGGAGCACCGGCGGCGAAGGCGUUCUGCAAGCCAGUGUUCGUCGAUCAAGAAUGUGAGCCUGGGGAUCAAAGAUGAUCAGACACCGUCGUAGUCCAGAGCCGUAAACAGUACCAGCUCGGUGCUGGUGGGACAUACCCUGAAUCCCAUCGGCGCCAGCCCUCCACAACGGGAAACCCAAGCCAUUGGGUUCAGGGGGGAGUACUGUCGCAAGGCUGGAACUUAAAGGAAUUGACGGAAUGGCACCACAAGGCGUGGAGUAUGCGGCUUAAUUUGACUCAACACGGGGAAUGUUACCAGGUCAGGACCCUGCAGGGAUGGACAGAUUGACAGCUCUUUCUUGAUUCUCGGGACGGUGGUGCAUGGCCGCUCCUGAUUGGUGGAGUGAUUUGUCUGGUUGAUUCCGAUAACGAGUGAGACAUCUGCCUUCCAGUAGCCCCGGGCUCGCAUCUGUAGGGAAUCGGCAUGUAUUGGCCAAGCUCAUCCGCCUGGAUUGGGCUGUUGGUCGUCUUGCCUCCCGAGAGCCUGUGGUCUUGCUUCUCUGAGGUGCUGCGCACGCUCCCAAGUGCGCGCAUGCUAGAGCCAACAGCAGGUCUGUGAUGCUCCCAGAUGUCCUGGGCCGCACGCGCACUACAUUGUCACAGUGAAGGUGUUUCCAGUGGAACCUUGGGACUCGUGCCCGAGGCCUGCCCAGAAGUGGGUGGGAAAUCAUUCGAGCCUGUGGCGUACUGGGGAUAGAUGAUUGCAACUGUCUGCCUUGAACAAGGAAUGCCUAGUAUGCCUGCGUCAUCAGCGCAGACCGAUUGUGUCCCUGCCAUUUGUACACACCGCCCGUCGUUGCUACCGAUGACAGCUGGAUAGAGCCAUCAGGAGGCCAAGAGCUCCAAGCUCCCAACCAAAAUUGGGCAAUGUCCAGCUCUUAGAGGAAGCAAAAGUC
RNAcentral lists this ribosomal RNA (2190 nucleotides) under Trachelomonas sp. Silo101703K. RNAcentral describes it as "SSU rRNA". It matches the Rfam family "Eukaryotic small subunit ribosomal RNA". The record is from RNAcentral. Lineage: Eukaryota; Euglenozoa; Euglenophyceae; Euglenales; Euglenaceae.